AUCUAAGUACCCCGAGGAAAAGAAAUCAACCGAGAUUCCCCCAGUAGCGGCGAGCGAACGGGGAGGAGCCCAGAGCCUGAAUCAGCAUGUGUGUUAGUGGAAGCGUCUGGAAAGGCGCGCGAUACAGGGUGACAGCCCCGUACACAAAAGCGCAUGUGCUGUGAGCUCGAUGAGUAGGGCGGGACACGUGGUAUCCUGUCUGAAUAUGGGGGGACCAUCCUCCAAGGCUAAAUACUCCUGACUGACCGAUAGUGAACCAGUACCGUGAGGGAAAGGCGAAAAGAACCCCGGCGAGGGGAGUGAAAAAGAACCUGAAACCGUGUACGUACAAGCAGUGGGAGCACCCUUCGGGGUGUGACUGCGUACCUUUUGUAUAAUGGGUCAGCGACUUAUAUUCUGUAGCAAGGUUAACCGUAUAGGGGAGCCGGAGGGAAACCGAGUCUUAAUUGGGCGUUAAGUUGCAGGGUAUAGACCCGAAACCCGGUGAUCUAGCCAUGGGCAGGUUGAAGGUUGGGUAACACUAACUGGAGGACCGAACCGACUAAUGUUGAAAAAUUAGCGGAUGACCUGUGGCUGGGGGUGAAAGGCCAAUCAAACCGGGAGAUAGCUGGUUCUCCCCGAAAGCUAUUUAGGUAGCGCCUCGUGAAUUCAUCUCCGGGGGUAGAGCACUGUUUCGGCUAGGGGGCCAUCCCGGCUUACCAACCCGAUGCAAACUGCGAAUACCGGAGAAUGUUAUCACGGGAGACACACGGCGGGUGCUAACGUCCGUCGUGAAGAGGGAAACAACCCAGACCGCCAGCUAAGGUCCCAAAGUCAUGGUUAAGUGGGAAACGAUGUGGGAAGGCCCAGACAGCCAGGAUGUUGGCUUAGAAGCAGCCAUCAUUUAAAGAAAGCGUAAUAGCUCACUGGUCGAGUCGGCCUGCGCGGAAGAUGUAACGGGGCUAAACCAUGCACCGAAGCUGCGGCAGCGAACGUAUCACCCAAGACAACUUUACGGAGUUGACGAUUGACGGAGCGAAGCGACGUCAAAGCGUUCAUUAAAGUCGAGUUGGCUUAGGGAUACGUUCGUUGGGUAGGGGAGCGUUCUGUAAGCCUGUGAAGGUGUGUCGUGAGGCAUGCUGGAGGUAUCAGAAGUGCGAAUGCUGACAUAAGUAACGAUAAAGCGGGUGAAAAGCCCGCUCGCCGGAAGACCAAGGGUUCCUGUCCAACGUUAAUCGGGGCAGGGUGAGUCGACCCCUAAGGCGAGGCCGAAAGGCGUAGUCGAUGGGAAACGGGUUAAUAUUCCCGUACUUGGUGUUACUGCGAAGGGGGGACGGAGAAGGCUAUGUUGGCCGGGCGACGGUUGUCCCGGUUUAAGCGUGUAGGUGUGUGUUCCAGGUAAAUCCGGUU
RNAcentral lists this ribosomal RNA (1389 nucleotides) under Salmonella enterica subsp. enterica serovar Typhimurium. RNAcentral describes it as "partial 23S ribosomal RNA". It matches the Rfam family "Bacterial large subunit ribosomal RNA", at positions 200 to 1547 of the family's 2925-position model. The record is from RNAcentral. Lineage: Bacteria; Pseudomonadati; Pseudomonadota; Gammaproteobacteria; Enterobacterales; Enterobacteriaceae.